Molecule: long non-coding RNA, 3828 nt
Organism: Columba livia (rock pigeon)
Lineage: Eukaryota; Metazoa; Chordata; Aves; Columbiformes; Columbidae
Exons: 7
Source: RefSeq, a predicted model, not a curated record
GGACUGUUACAGUCAACUAGGGGACUAACGAACUCUUGGCUUUCUUAGCAAGAUGUGCAAAGAGAAGGGGAAGCACACUGAGAGAGGGGUAAAAUUGGAAAGAUCAAGACUACAGCAGUGGAAGAAAAUGUGAAAUGCUGGAGAUUCCACGGCUUUCAGCAUGGAAGAGCAGCGGUGCUGCACCCUGCACAGGCAAAGAGUCUCCUGGGAACUGCGAGCAAUGUGUUCUUGGACAACAAGAGGACAAGAGAAUUGUUCUGUAGAUACUUCUAAGGAGACAACAGUUGUAGCCCUAUCAGUCUUCAGGAGUGUUUGAGCAUACAUCCCAAACCUGUCACGUGAAUGGCAGAGGGUGGCAAUGCCUGUCGCAUUUCUGCUUUUGGAAAAGAUCAGAACCUAAUCUUCCUGAUGGCACAGCCAUUCUACAGUUUCUAUGGCAGAUCUCAGAAAAUAUGUUCCUCGUGGGAGUUAUUUAACAUCUAUUUUCAGAUGGCUGCAUAGCUACCAAAUUUUGACCAACUGCUAUAAACAAGACCUGUCUAAGGGAAGUCCAGAAGAACUCUGAAGUCUUUGUCCAUACCCUGGAGAAAGGCAUUACAAAGUGUUGCACUUCACUGCAAAUAAAACCUAGCAAAGGAUGGGAGACUCUGGGCCUGGCUGAGGGACCUUACACUCUGCAGGGUGUUUCAAGUCUGACGUGUUUUUUCCAUUACGGUGGGAAGUGGAAGCCCUAAGAAGAAGCUGUAACUUCUUACUUGGAGGAUAUCCUUAAGUAUUCUACCUGCUGCCAUGCUGGAAGAGACCUCUGGGUCGCUAUGGACAGCACAAUGAAAACAUCCAUUGACAUGCACAGUGAUGAGAAAAACAAGCAAAAUAUUAGUCUCAAUGAGGCCAGAAAAGAUUGCUGAAAAUAUUUGAGGAUCACUAAUCUCUUCAGUGAUGUAUUGUCAAAACUGUCUCUAAUUCUCUGUGUCAACACACAGACAUCAUGCUAAGGAUUUUUUGUUGGAGAGAUAUCACACACCUCAGGAUGUGGCCUGACUUUACCUGUAAGUUUGCAUCUAAAAUUUGCAUUUGAGAGAAUAGUAAUGUCUCCACUUAAAACCACCUAUAGAAUUAGGACAGUGAAGAAGUUUGUGGAUACAUAAGUCUGUUGCAGUGAUUGGGUAAAAAAAAAGUUAUAGAACUAUGACUUAGGCAAUUAUACAAAGAUUUUUCCCUUUAAAGUUUGCACAUAAAGAUAAAUAACAGACUGUAAGGAUUAGUGAGCACAUUUUAGACAACUUCCUUUAUUUUGUUGCAAAUCAUUUUCAGAGGAGGAGAGCACAGGCACAUUCUAAAAGACUGGAAAACAACCAGCCUUAUUUAAAAAGUAUAAUUACAACUGACAAAAAGUUUUUAAAAGUUAAACCCUCAGAGCAUUCCCCAGCUUUAGUUACGACCAACACUGCAGAUAACUGAAAUUGCAAAUGAAAUAGAUGUUUAUACAGCUAAAAGGCACCCAUGUUUACAUUGGCAUAGUGAAAAGGAGAGAAAAUGACAAGGAAAAUGUUCAGCAUGUAAACUCUAUUAAGGGCAGACUUCCUGUUGAUGCUAUUCCUUAAAUCACAUGUAGCCAAAAUUUUCAUGCAGUCCUCUGGCAUGUCUGAUACUGCUGGAGGAGGACUGAUGUGUGAUAGAAAAUCCUGUGAACUGUAUUUCACUCUAAUGUUUUGAUUGAGAAAGUGUACCUGCAGUAGAUUGACAGGAUACCAGAAUCUACCAUGGGAACUGCAUUUCCAUCUGGGUGGUUUCUUCAGUUCACAUCUGUGUGUACCAUAAAUUAUGAAUCUUUUUGCCAAUUUCUAUUCUAGUACUUCAUACCACAGGAAGGCAGUUGGCAAGCAGUGUUGGACAGCUAUAUGUCUGGUUAUGUUGCUGUGAAAUAAUAUGUGUUCUACACUAAAGGACUUUUAUUGGACUUAAAGUCUGAAGCCCAGAAGCAAAGUGUUUUUUUCCUCUCUGACAGAAUCAUUUGCCAAUGGCAAGUCGUGUGUGACACAGGAUACAGCCAUUAAUGUAUUUUUGGGAUUCACCAGGUUUUGUUUCAGUAUCUUUCCUGUCCUUGCAAUUCUACAGCUCUGUGUUAUGUCUCCAGCUUCUGUCUUCUGUCUGUGUGGAGACCUGAAUUUUCCCACUGCCUGCCUUUGUCUCAGUGUUCUGUUACUUUGGCCUGGUGCUGUUUCAUUGCUAGAUGAAUUACAUGUUUGAGCCUUCUUGUCAAACCACAAUAUCAAACAGGCAUAGGCUGCCUAGAAACCAUAGUCCUCUUGCCAAGGGAAGAUGUCUUUGGAAUCUUCCUAAUACCUAGGAUGACAUGUUAAUAUGACAAUCUCAGCUUUUAUUUGAAAAUUGAUUUUUCUUUUAAUAUUAAUUUUCAAAAUCUAAGUUUAAAACCAAGGUUAUCCUAAAGGAUUAUAUAUUAAAAAAUAAUCCAAUAUAAUUACUAGUUUAAAAUGUCAAGAAGUUUCAAGAUUAAGAACUUCAUGUGUAAAUGAUUAAGUUUGAUAGUACUGCAAAAAAUUUGGACAUUUCUGCUCGGCUUGAAUAGACAAAAAAACCCUUGAAGUCAAACUCUCCUUUCCAUAUUUUUUUUCUGACAAAAAGAGUUAAUAGGCCAGUCUCCUUCAUUAUCUUCAGAAGCUGGCAUAUCAUAUAACAACAAAUCAAUGAACUAAACACAUUCUAAUUAAUCACUUCAGGGUUACUUGAUUGACCACACAGUCAAUUCCUUGAAUAAAUCAAUGUAGUGUUAGAAAGUAUUUCAAGUUAAGCUUUUUGAGGACUGUGGGCUGGAAUUCAGAGGAAAGGAAAGCCACUAGAAACCAACUGAAAACAGGAAAUAUUUCCUAAACCGACAGAGAAUCGAGUCCUACUUCAGUCUUGAUAGUGUUGUGUGUCCAAUAUGAUCACAGUAGCUCACCCUGAAAUCCUGCCAGCCCAGACAUCAGAUUUGUGGGUUAGUGAGAUUGUGGUCCCAGCUCUUCAGCUAAGGUCUAGACAAUGUACUGAUUUGACCAUGCUCUCUAUGCUCACUGUGCUAAUCUGAACCAGCUCUGAAAUCAACCCUGGUGUGAGGCAGAAGCUCAGUAACCUUAUGACACUAAUUUAGAGGGAAGCUUGGGCUGGUAUCAAAGGAAGGAACCACAGUGCUGAACUCCUGCUCAGCUUUUCUUAUCUCCUGCUCCUGGAUAGAUGACUGUGAACCAGUGCAGAGACUAGCUCUACUUUGUGAGGAAAAAAGGUUAUUUUUUAUCAUGGUGCCUUAAAGCUUUCAAUCAAGGAGGAAAAGUAGCAUAUAAUGGAGGGGUAUUUGCCCUCCUUGCAGCUUCACAGCAGCUUCUGAGACAAAGUAAAGUGACUAAAGUGGCAUCGUUAAAGCACGUCACUCUACUUAAAGAUGUUAUUAUGCAAGUAACCUUUCUGAAAUCAGCUAGUACUUGAACAACACUAAAAUCUGCCAGUAUGGCUUUGGUUGUUCCCUCGAUGUCCCCAAAUGGCUGCUGACAUGUACAAAGCUGUCUGGCACCACAUUUCUAACACUGAUGAGUUUAUAUUUCAGGCAUGUGGGGAGAGCUCCUGAUGGCCCAACCUGGUCCUUUACCUUCCAGCAAAAGGUGGGUCACAAUCAAGGGACUGAAACGUCUGUCAUACAAGGAAAGGCUGAGAGAGCUGGGACUGUCCAGCCAGGGGAAGAGAAGGCUCAGUAAAGAAGACAGAGCCAGGGUCUUCCCUGUGGUAUGCAAUGAGCAGACAACAGACAAUGAGUAUAAAUUGAAACACAAGAAA